This 154-nucleotide ribosomal RNA is filed under the name Pseudoidium sp. DNA565. RNAcentral describes it as "5.8S ribosomal RNA". It matches the Rfam family "5.8S ribosomal RNA". Rfam says of the family: 5.8S ribosomal RNA (5.8S rRNA) is a component of the large subunit of the eukaryotic ribosome. RNAcentral also lists the same sequence under 2 other names. Lineage: Eukaryota; Fungi; Ascomycota; Leotiomycetes; Helotiales; Erysiphaceae. The record is from RNAcentral.
AAACUUUCAACAACGGAUCUCUUGGCUCUGGCAUCGAUGAAGAACGCAGCGAAAUGCGAUAAGUAAUGUGAAUUGCAGAAUUUAGUGAAUCAUCGAAUCUUUGAACGCACAUUGCGCCCCUUGGUAGUCCGAGGGGCAUGCCUGUUCGAGCGUC